RNAcentral lists this ribosomal RNA (199 nucleotides) under uncultured bacterium. RNAcentral describes it as "partial 16S ribosomal RNA". It matches the Rfam family "Bacterial small subunit ribosomal RNA", at positions 1302 to 1500 of the family's 1533-position model. The record is from RNAcentral.
AGUCUGCAACCCGACUACAUGAAGCUGGAAUCGCUAGUAAUCGCAGGUCAGCAUACUGCGGUGAAUACGUUCCCGGGUCUUGUACACACCGCCCGUCACACCAUGGGAGCCGGAAAUGCCCGAAGCCAGUGACCCAACCUUAGGGAGGGAGCUGUCGAAGGUGGAGCCGGUAACUGGGGUGAAGUCGUAACAAGGUACC